Molecule: ribosomal RNA, 424 nt
Filed under: uncultured bacterium
Lineage: Bacteria
Description: bacterial SSU rRNA
Rfam family: Bacterial small subunit ribosomal RNA
Source: RNAcentral
GGGCCCGCACAAGCGGUGGAGUAUGUGGUUUAAUUCGAUGCAACGCGAAAAACCUUACCUACCCUUGACAUGUCAGGAAUUUUGCAGAGAUGCGAAAGUGCUCGAAAGAGAACCUGAACACAGGUGCUGCAUGGCUGUCGUCAGCUCGUGUCGUGAGAUGUUGGGUUAAGUCCCGCAACGAGCGCAACCCUUGUCAUUAGUUGCUACGCAAGGGCACUCUAAUGAGACUGCCGGUGACAAACCGGAGGAAGGUGGGGACGACGUCAAGUCCUCAUGGCCCUUAUGGGUAGGGCUUCACACGUCAUACAAUGGUUGGUACAGAGGGUUGCGAACCCGCGAGGGGAAGCUAAUCCCAAAAAACCAAUCGUAGUCCGGAUUGCAGUCUGCAACUCGACUGCAUGAAGUCGGAAUCGCUAGUAAUCGC